RNAcentral lists this long non-coding RNA (468 nucleotides) under Sorghum bicolor (sorghum). RNAcentral's name for it is "long non-coding RNA (SBIC_LNC002702)". The record is from RNAcentral. Lineage: Eukaryota; Viridiplantae; Streptophyta; Magnoliopsida; Poales; Poaceae.
UGGCAGUUGAGUCCAGAUUUUGUUCACGCUAGUAGGGCGUGUUUAGUUGCCAAAAAUUUUACAAAAUGUACAUUUUGCAAAAUGGUUCUUGUUUCGUUGCAAAAAUUUUUGCAAAAUGAAUAUUAUAAUAUUUCAGUUUGUAUUUGACAAAUAUUAUCGAAUCAUGAACUAACUAGUUUAAAAGAUUCAUCUCGUAAAUUAUAGACAAACUGUAUAAUUAGUUAGUUUUUAAUCUAUAUUUAAUGCUAUAUAUGUGCCGCAAGAUUUGAUGUGACAAAGAAUCUGAUUUUUUUUUUUCAAAAUUUCUCAUGAACUAAACAAAGCCUAAACAUGCCCUAGGAGCGUUUUUUUUCUUCUUCGCAGUUGAAGUGAAAGAAAGAAGAGAGGGCUACUAUCCAGCAGCUGUGGCUGCAGCAAGGACCACACCACAGUAGUUGGGCACAGGGAAACACUGCCCAAAGCCAAGGG